UGGGAGGUCUAGGACUUGCCUAAGGUCACA
Molecule: non-coding RNA, 30 nt
Filed under: Rattus norvegicus (Norway rat)
Lineage: Eukaryota; Metazoa; Chordata; Mammalia; Rodentia; Muridae
Source: RNAcentral